CCCUAUACAUUCGGCCUAUGGGCACUAGUCAAAAGUAGUGCACUAUAAAGAGAAUAGGGAAGUCAUUUGGGAUGCUGAUUAAGCCUCACAUUGGGGACAGAUUGAUUAAAAAAUGUGUUUAAUACAGUAAUGCACAGUUACUGCACACACACACACACACACACACACACACACACACACACCCUACUCCAGGGAAUUGACAGAUGGCCAUUAGUAGUAAUUGGUAGAACUGACUGAAUGAAGUAAUAGAAUAAGCAGGAUAGACAGGAGACAGGGGGAGAGCAGGAGAGAAAGGAGGUAGGGAGAGAAAGGAGGUAGGGAGAGAGUCUGGAGAGACAGGAGAGAAAGGAGGUAGGGAGAGAGUCUGGGGAGAGA
Molecule: long non-coding RNA, 375 nt
Organism: Oncorhynchus tshawytscha (Chinook salmon)
Lineage: Eukaryota; Metazoa; Chordata; Actinopteri; Salmoniformes; Salmonidae
Source: Ensembl